AUUGAACGCUGGCGGCAUGCUUUACACAUGCAAGUCGGACGGCAGCACAGAGAAGCUUGCUUCUUGGGUGGCGAGUGGCGAACGGGUGAGUAACAUAUCGGAACGUACCGAGCAGUGGGGGAUAACUAAUCGAAAGAUUAGCUAAUACCGCAUAUCUUCUGAGGAAGAAAGCAGGGGACCAUUUGGCCUUGCGCUGUUUGAGCGGCCGAUAUCUGAUUAGCUAGUUGGUGGGGUAAAGGCCUACCAAGGCGACGAUCAGUAGCGGGUCUGAGAGGAUGAUCCGCCACACUGGGACUGAGACACGGCCCAGACUCCUACGGGAGGCAGCAGUGGGGAAUUUUGGACAAUGGGCGCAAGCCUGAUCCAGCCAUGCCGCGUGUCUGAAGAAGGCCUUCGGGUUGUAAAGGACUUUUGUCAGGGAAGAAAAGGGCGG
This 433-nucleotide ribosomal RNA is filed under the name Neisseria sicca. RNAcentral describes it as "bacterial SSU rRNA". It matches the Rfam family "Bacterial small subunit ribosomal RNA", at positions 30 to 457 of the family's 1533-position model. The record is from RNAcentral. Lineage: Bacteria; Pseudomonadati; Pseudomonadota; Betaproteobacteria; Neisseriales; Neisseriaceae.